This 253-nucleotide ribosomal RNA is filed under the name uncultured bacterium. RNAcentral describes it as "partial 16S ribosomal RNA". It matches the Rfam family "Bacterial small subunit ribosomal RNA", at positions 524 to 776 of the family's 1533-position model. The record is from RNAcentral.
UACAGAGGGUGCGAGCGUUAAUCGGAAUUACUGGGCGUAAAGCGCACGUAGGCGGUGUGUCACGUCGGCCGUGAAAACCUGCAGCUUAACUGUGGGCGUGCGGUUGAUACGGGUUGGCUGGAGUUCGGUAGGGGAGACUGGAAUUCCUGGUGUAGCGGUGAAAUGCGCAGAUAUCAGGAGGAACACCGGUGGCGAAGGCGGGUCUCUGGGCCGAUACUGACGCUGAGGAGCGAAAGCGUGGGGAGCGAACAGG